CCUAUCUUUAUUAUCUCUCAGCCUUCUAAGCCCUUCCACUCAUAAAGUCUAUUUUCUUUUUCACUUCCACUUUCUCUCAGAUACUAAUUCAUGCCUAUUCUCAGAUAUAAACCUUAUACCAGCAACCUUCCCAAAAUCUCUGCUCAAAGACCUUAGUUAUCACUUCAACCUUAAAAUUCUGUCAGUAUUUUUGAUGAAGAGGAA
Molecule: non-coding RNA, 204 nt
Organism: Pelobates cultripes (western spadefoot toad)
Lineage: Eukaryota; Metazoa; Chordata; Amphibia; Anura; Pelobatidae
Source: the annotation of a GenBank genome assembly